GAUGAACGCUGGCGGCGUGCUUAACACAUGCAAGUCGAACGGAUAGGCCCAAGCUUGCUUGGGUUUUCGAGUGGCGAACGGGUGAGUAACACGGGGGUGAUCUGCCCUGCACGUUGGGAUAAGCCUGGGAAACUGGGUCUAAUACCUGAGAGGACCAGCGGAUAGUGUCGGUGGUGGAAAGUUUUUCGGUGUGGGCUGAGCUCGCGGCCUAUCAGCUUGUUGGUGGGGUAAUGGCUUACCAAGGCGUCGACGGAUAGCCGGCCUGAGAGGGUGUACGGCAACAUUGGGCCUGAGAUACGGCACAGACUGCUACGGGGGGCGGUAGUCGGGAAUAUUGCCCAAUGGGGCGAAGCCUGUUGAAGCAAUGUCGUGUGCGUAAUGCCGGCCUACGGGUUGUAAACCGCUUUAGCCUGAGACGAAGCGUGAGUGACGGUACUGGGAAAAGAAGCACCGGCUAACUACGUG
This 465-nucleotide ribosomal RNA is filed under the name uncultured bacterium. RNAcentral's name for it is "partial 16S ribosomal RNA". It matches the Rfam family "Bacterial small subunit ribosomal RNA", at positions 28 to 507 of the family's 1533-position model. The record is from RNAcentral.